This 69-nucleotide transfer RNA is filed under the name Ictidomys tridecemlineatus (thirteen-lined ground squirrel). RNAcentral's name for it is "Spermophilus tridecemlineatus (thirteen-lined ground squirrel) tRNA". It matches the Rfam family "tRNA". From Rfam's summary of the family: Transfer RNA (tRNA) molecules are approximately 80 nucleotides in length. Their secondary structure includes four short double-helical elements and three loops (D, anti-codon, and T loops). Further hydrogen bonds mediate the characteristic L-shaped molecular structure. tRNAs have two regions of fundamental functional importance: the anti-codon, which is responsible for specific mRNA codon recognition, and the 3' end, to which the tRNAs corresponding amino acid is attached (by aminoacyl-tRNA synthetases). tRNAs cope with the degeneracy of the genetic code in two manners: having more than one tRNA (with a specific anti-codon) for a particular amino acid; and 'wobble' base-pairing, i.e. permitting non-standard base-pairing at the 3rd anti-codon position. The record is from Rfam by way of RNAcentral. Lineage: Eukaryota; Metazoa; Chordata; Mammalia; Rodentia; Sciuridae.
GGGGCUGUGGCUCAGCGGUAGAGCGCUCGCCUAGCACACGUGAGGCCCUGGGUUCGAACCUUAGCACCA